GAUGAACGCUGGCGGCGUGCCUAAUACAUGCAAGUCGAGCGAACAGACGAGGAGCUUGCUCCUCUGACGUUAGCGGCGGACGGGUGAGUAACACGUGGAUAACCUACCUAUAAGACUGGGAUAACUUCGGGAAACCGGAGCUAAUACCGGAUAAUAUAUUGAACCGCAUGGUUCAAUAGUGACAGACGGUUUUGCUGUCACUUAUAGAUGGGUCCGCGCCGCAUUAGCUAGUUGUUAAGGUAACGGCUUACCAAGGCAACGAUGCGUAGCCGACCUGAGAGGGUGAUCGGCCACACUGGAACUGAGACACGGUCCAGACUCCUACGGGAGGCAGCAGUAGGGAAUCUUCCGCAAUGGGCGAAAGCCUGACGGAGCAACGCCGCGUGAGUGAUGAAGGUCUUCGGAUCGUAAAACUCUGUUAUUAGGGAAGAACAAAUGUGUAAGUAACUAUGCACGUCUUGACGGUACCUAAUCAGAAAGCCACGGCUAACUACGUG
This 497-nucleotide ribosomal RNA is filed under the name uncultured bacterium. Its description in RNAcentral is "partial 16S ribosomal RNA". It matches the Rfam family "Bacterial small subunit ribosomal RNA", at positions 28 to 507 of the family's 1533-position model. The record is from RNAcentral.